GGCUUUCGCGGUGACGCCCCCUCCCGAAUGGUUUGCUUGGAUUCUUCUAGUACUUGGCUCUGACCUGGACGGUGGCCAGAGGAGGACAAGAGACUUCCAGAAAGAAUGGAGGGAUGAUUUGGAUGACACAUGAAACGCAGUCACACAUCAACAAGCAGCCGGGCUCCGGGGAAGUGGCAGCGGCGCUGAUGGCGACCGAGAGGAACCGGGGGGAGCACCUCCCGAGGCCGUGGCUGCCGCCAAGAUAGAGUCGGGUUAUCCAUUUUGGGAAGAGAAACCACAGAAGUGAUGUUGUGUUCAUAUCGGUGCAUCAUAUCAGGAGGCCCGGUUGUUUUCUGCCCUAAUGUCAAUCAAUAUGUUGGAAGUUAUCAAGAAGUUCAUGAGAAAUCCAUUUGAAAUUCUAAUGAAGAAGGAAGAAUUGACCCUUGAAAGGGCCAAUAUUUUAUACUAAUUUUGAAAGAGGGUGGUAACAGAAAGAAAGAGACAUUAUCAGGAAGGAAUUCAGAGUUGGCAGUAGAUGUUGAUUUGGGAGGAAAGCUGUGGCCAUUAAACAUUAAAGAAGACAAGUGGAUUCUUUGUGACUGUGAGACUUUCUGCAAUACUACGGUGGAGGAAAUGCCAGUGAAUGUGACUGACCUUAUUUCAUUCCUGGGAUGAGAGAGUUUCGAAUGGAGCCCUCUCUACUGUGGAAGAGGUGGUGACAACGUGCAUUGUGCUUCUUUCUUUGGGAAUAUUUGAAGCUCGUCUCAAUGCUCAUAACAGAUCAAAAAUACAGAUUUUGAUGUAACACUACUCUUAAGAGCCCAUAUGAGGAUGGUCAUUGGUUUUAUCUGCUUUAGAAUUAGAAUAUUGGAGUCAGAUAUGAAAGAUGAGGUUGUAACAAUUAUUCUUAGAACUUUAUUGUCUAGUUCUGAAAAAAUGGUUAUAUUGAGUGUUCUCUAUCAUUUAAUGCUAUAUUGUGGAUUGAAUGAUAUGUGCUCUAUAAAGCAGCCAAUUAUAGGGGCACCAAUUAUAGGCUCAGCCAGUGGAGUCUGUGACUCUUGAUCUUGGGUUUUUAAGUUCAGCCCCAGGUUGGAUGUAGAGAUUACUUAGAAAUAAAAUCUUUAAAAAAAAAAAAAAAGCAGCCAAUUAUAUUAAACUAGUGUAUCUGCUUUUACUGUGUUAGUCAUUAGACUGAAUGAAACAAACUCAAAAAUGGUUUUUAUAAAGAAAGUAUUUGAUUUCAUUUUGUAUGAUAUUGUGUUUUUACUUUGUAAAAUAGUUUAUUAGUGGUAAGCAUGAACUGGAGUCUUUUACUAAUAAACACCCACAACAAUCAUAUCCUAGGGCUAAAUCCCAGAAAAAUUGCCAUAUUGUAUAUUGAAUACUCAAUAAAUUAUAAUAAAGAAUAUCUUUCUUUAA
Molecule: long non-coding RNA, 1401 nt
Organism: Suricata suricatta (meerkat)
Lineage: Eukaryota; Metazoa; Chordata; Mammalia; Carnivora; Herpestidae
Exons: 5
Source: RefSeq, a predicted model, not a curated record